GGAUGUGAGGGUGAUCUGGCUGGGACGUCUGUCAUCCCGUUGAACGCCAGGGUUGAUUAGGCUUAUCUGGCUGGCUAGGUGGCUGUCCCCUUCCUCCCUCGCUGCUCCAUGUGCCUCCCUCCCAAAGCUGCACACAAUAUUGAAGAGGACAACCUUCCACAAUAGAGGAGGACCAUUCUUUGGUCAAGGGUACGUGAGUAGCUGCACUCCCCUGCUAUAACUUCUAAACAAGCUCUCAAGUCUUCUAUAUUCUUACUGAAGUCUAUCUCUGUACUUACUGGUUAUUGAAAAUGGGUAUUGAAAUCUCUGACUAUAACUGUGGAUAUGUCUAUCUUU
Molecule: unclassified non-coding RNA, 336 nt
Organism: Microcebus murinus (gray mouse lemur)
Lineage: Eukaryota; Metazoa; Chordata; Mammalia; Primates; Cheirogaleidae
Gene: 7SK
Rfam family: 7SK RNA
About the family: 7SK was discovered as an abundant small nuclear RNA in the mid-70s but a possible function has only recently been suggested. Two independent studies have found that 7SK RNA binds the CDK9/cyclin T complex (known as elongation factor P-TEFb). P-TEFb activates transcription by phosphorylating the C-terminal domain of RNA polymerase II.
Source: Ensembl